AAAUAGGUAUUAAACCUUGAAUCAAAGAGACCGGAAGUCUCUUCUUCGAAGAAUUGAAGAAAGGCUACUUCGCUGCUUACUUCGCUGUGCACUGCCGCUACCCGCCGCCGGUCAUCGUCCGCCGUCGGCCGCCGUACGUCGCCGACCACCGUCUGUCGUCGGCCCCCGUUGCAGUUCCGACCGGUGACCAGCGGAUCUGGAUCGCCUCUUCAAGCGACUGCCAACCCCGUCGGAGUCACGACCAAACUCUGCCUAACGCGCCUCUAUGCGUCGCCUUCCCGUGGUCGGCAUCAAACUGCGCCACUGUCGGUCGUCUCGCCGGUUCUUCCUCUCUGUUCUGCCCCAACCUAGGCACCGUGAAAACGCGCCGAGACCGAACCACGAUCCUCACAACCAGUCAUCCUCACCGCAGCACCACCAGAAAUAGACAUUGCCGUCGCAGGUGAGACUACCACGAGAUCGCGCGCCGACCAGCCGCCGUGCCGUCGAGAAGCAGCCGAGAAGACGCUGCCACUGGCGCGCUGGCACCCUCCGUCGCUCUUCCUUCUUCAUCGUGUAGCAGCCUUCAACGAGCUUCUUUGUUGCCAGUCCUCUUCCUUCUUCCACGCACCACCGACACCUUAAAGCACGGUUUGGCUCCUUUUGGCAUUCUUAUUGACUGCUAGUUGAAUCAAAGUGACCGAAAGUCUCUUUUUCGAAUAAUUGAAGAAAGGCUACUUCCCUGCUUAUUCCGUUGUACACCGCCGCUACCCUUUGCCAGUCAUUGUCCGUCGUCGGCCGUCGUACGUCGUCGGCCACCGUCUGUCUUCGGCCACCGUCGCAGUUCCGACCGUUGACCAGCGGAUCUGGAUUGCCUCUUCAAGCGACGGCCAACCCUGCCGGAGUCAGGACUAGACUUCGCUCAACACGCCUCCAUGCGUCGCCUUCCCGGCGUCGCCAUAAAACCGCGCCACUGGCGAUCGUCUCAUCGGACCUUCCUCUCUCUGUUCCGACCCAACCUAGGCACCGUGAAAACGCGCCGACACCGGAACACUAUCCUCACAACUAGUCAUCCUCACCGCCUCACCACCAGAAAUCGACAUUGCCGUCGUAGGAGAGACUACCACGAGGUCACGCACCGACCAACCACCGUGCCUUCGUGAAGCCGCCGAGAAGAUGUUGCCACUGUCGCGCUGGAAGCCCUCCGUCACUCUCUUCCUUCUUCCACGCACCAUCGCAACCUUCAACGCCUCACCACGGUUUGGCUCCUUUUGGCAUUCUUAUUGAUUGCUAGUUGAAUCAAAGAGACCGAAAGUCUCUUCGAAGAAUCGAAGAAAGGAUACUUUGCUGCUUACUUCGCUGUGCACCGCCGCUACCCGCCGCCGGUCAUCGUCCGCCGUCGGCCGCCGUACGUCGCCGAACACCAUCUGUCGCAGGCCACCAUCGCAGUUCCGACCGGAUUGCCUCUUCAAGCGACGGCCAACCCUGCCGGAGUCAGGGCUAGACUUCGCUCAAAACGCCUCUAUGCGCCGCCUUCCCGGCGUCGACAUCAAACCGCGCCACUGCCGGUCAUGUCACCGGUCCUUCCUCUCUCUGUUCUGACCCAACCUAGGCACUGUGAAAAUGCGCCGACACCGGACCACGAUCCUCACAACUAGUCAACCUCACCGCCGCUCCACUAGAAACCGACAUCGCCGUCGCAGGAGAGACUACCACGAGGUCGCGCGCCGACCAGCCACCGUACCGUCGUGAAGCUGCCGAGAAGACGCUGCCACUGUCGCGCAGGAAGCCCUCUGUCACUCUCUUCCUUCUUCAUCGUGUAACAGCCAUCAGCGA
RNAcentral lists this long non-coding RNA (1815 nucleotides) under Vigna radiata. RNAcentral describes it as "long non-coding RNA (VRAD_LNC007466)". Lineage: Eukaryota; Viridiplantae; Streptophyta; Magnoliopsida; Fabales; Fabaceae. The record is from RNAcentral.